AGUGAACGCUGGCGGUAGGCCUAACACAUGCAAGUCGAACGGCAGCACAGGAGAGCUUGCUCUAUGGGUGGCGAGUGGCGGACGGGUGAGGAAUACAUCGGAAUCUACUCUGUCGUGGGGGAUAACGUAGGGAAACUUACGCUAAUACCGCAUACGACCUACGGGUGAAAGCAGGGGACCUUCGGGCCUUGCGCGAUUGAAUGAGCCGAUGUCGGAUUAGCUAGUUGGCGGGGUAAAGGCCCACCAAGGCGACGAUCCGUAGCUGGUCUGAGAGGAUGAUCAGCCACACUGGAACUGAGACACGGUCCAGACUCCUACGGGAGGCAGCAGUGGGGAAUAUUGGACAAUGGGCGCAAGCCUGAUCCAGCCAUACCGCGUGGGUGAAGAAGGCCUUCGGGUUGUAAAGCCCUUUUGUUGGGAAAGAAAUCCAGCUGGCUAAUACCCGGUUGGGAUGACGGUACCCAAAGAAUAAGCACCGGCUAAUUUCGUGCCAGCAGCCGCCGUAA
This 506-nucleotide ribosomal RNA is filed under the name uncultured bacterium. RNAcentral's name for it is "partial 16S ribosomal RNA". It matches the Rfam family "Bacterial small subunit ribosomal RNA", at positions 29 to 523 of the family's 1533-position model. The record is from RNAcentral.